GAACCUUAGCAGAGCCUACUACGAGGUGAUUAACAGGAUCCAAGACCGUGAAAUGCUGCUCUUUAACCACAGGAGCAGCCCUGAACUCAAACAAUUGCACCAGAAUUUGACAAACAGAAGUGGUUCUAGCUGUCACCAUCAUUACCACCUCAACUAAAAUGACUGAAUCAGCAUCAGGAACCUGUGGUAACAUUUUGUUUGCACGUUGAUCCCGAGUGGGGUCAAACCUCUCCGUUUCGCAACGGCGGAGGUGCACAGCGGCUUAAGGAUGAAGUUAAAGGUUCAGUCGACAGCUCCCAAGGGUCGCGACUGCCUCAUUAUUUCUGCUUCCUCACUGCACUCCGCGGGCCACAGCUUGGGAGGGAGUCAUCUGUGUCCGAUUCAUAAUUCAUGCAUCUGGCUGACUGCUCCUCUCUGGCACAUGUAAACAGCGUGACAUGCCCAGCAGCUUAAGAAGACCCCCAAAGAAGCAGCUUCACAUUCACACGACAUUUAUUAGCCUUAUCAGCAAUGGGCCAGUUCAGAGUGAGUCCAUCGACGCGGGUCGCGGGCUGCUGGAGCAUAACCCAGCUAUCUUCGGGCAGGAGGCAGGGUACACCCUGAACCGGUCGCCAGCCAAUCGCAGGGCACCUAGAAACAAACAACCAUUCGCGCUCACAUUCACAUCUACGGGCAAUUCAGUCUUCAAUCAACCUACCACGCAUGUCUUUGGGAUGUGGGAGGAAGCCGGAGUGCCCAGGGAAAACCCA
Molecule: long non-coding RNA, 749 nt
Organism: Phyllopteryx taeniolatus (common seadragon)
Lineage: Eukaryota; Metazoa; Chordata; Actinopteri; Syngnathiformes; Syngnathidae
Exons: 5
Source: RefSeq, a predicted model, not a curated record